GAUGAACGCUGCGGCGUGCCUAAUACAUGCAAGUCGAGCGAACAGACGAGGAGCUUGCUCCUCUGACGUUAGCGGCGGACGGGUGGGUAACACGUGGAUAACCUACCUAUAAGACUGGGAUAACUUCGGGAAACCGGAGCUAAUACCGGAUAAUAUAUUGAACCGCAUGGUUCAAUAGUGAAAGACGGUUUUGCUGUCACUUAUAGAUGGAUCCGCGCCGCAUUAGCUAGUUGGUAAGGUAACGGCUUACCAAGGCGACGAUGCGUAGCCGACCUGAGAGGGUGAUCGGCCACACUGGAACUGAGACACGGUCCAGACUCCUACGGGAGGCAGCAGUAGGGAAUCUUCCGCAAUGGGCGAAAGCCUGACGGAGCAACGCCGCGUGAGUGAUGAAGGUCUUCGGAUCGUAAAACUCUGUUAUUAGGGAAGAACAAAUGUGUAAGUAACUAUGCACGUCUUGACGGUACCUAAUCAGAAAGCCACGGCUAACUACGUG
This 496-nucleotide ribosomal RNA is filed under the name uncultured bacterium. RNAcentral describes it as "partial 16S ribosomal RNA". It matches the Rfam family "Bacterial small subunit ribosomal RNA", at positions 28 to 507 of the family's 1533-position model. The record is from RNAcentral.